RNAcentral lists this ribosomal RNA (440 nucleotides) under uncultured bacterium. Its description in RNAcentral is "partial 16S ribosomal RNA". It matches the Rfam family "Bacterial small subunit ribosomal RNA", at positions 338 to 795 of the family's 1533-position model. The record is from RNAcentral.
CCUACGGGAGGCAGCAGUGGGGAAUAUUGCACAAUGGGCGAAACCCUGAUGCAGCGACGCCGCGUGAGUGAAGAAGUAUUUCGGUAUGUAAAGCUCUAUCAGCAGGGAAGAAAAUGAAGGUACCUGAUUAAGAAGCCCUGGCUAACUACGUGCCAGCAGCCGCGGUAAUACGCCGGGGGCCAGCGUUAUCCGGAUUUACUGGGUGUAAAGGGAGCGUAGACGGCAGCACAAGUCUGGAGUGAAGUGCCGGGGCUUAACCCCGGAACUGCUUUGGACACUGGGCAGCUUGAGUGCAGGAGAGGUAAGUGGAAUUCCUAGUGUAGCGGUGAAAUGCGUAGAUAUCAGGAGGAACACCAGUGGCGAAGGCGGCUUACUGGACUGUAACUGACGUUGAGGCUCGAAAGCGUGGGGAGCAAACAGGAUUAGAUACCCGUGUAGUC